Oncorhynchus keta (chum salmon) is the source of this 1059-nucleotide long non-coding RNA. RefSeq lists it as uncharacterized. The record is from RefSeq and is a predicted model, not a curated record. The transcript is spliced from 4 exons. Lineage: Eukaryota; Metazoa; Chordata; Actinopteri; Salmoniformes; Salmonidae.
CGUUCUGACACACCGGAAGUGGGUUUUUGGUGACAGCAUUCGCCAUUAUUUCAGACAGAAUAACGACAACAAAGGCAGAUUGAUAACAAUUAAUUCUUACAAUCGUCUCAAAUAAAUUAAUAAACUCUGAAUCGGAAAAAGAGCAGUCUGCCAUGCUGACAGUUGCAGGACGAGAAGAUCCAAGGUGCAGACUACUUUGGCCACAAAGAUGUUCCUGGUCAGUGCAUGAAGGUCCUGUGUCUUCAAGGAGCAGGAGUUCCUAGAGAAAGUGAAGUACUUUGUGAUGUGGUAGAGCAGACAUGUGGUCUCAGAUGUCAUACGUCUUUGUGAAGACUGGAGGCAACGGGAGGCCUAUGACAUCAUCGCUGAAGAUGUUCUUUGCUGGGGAGGAAACCAACAAAAACAUUCCUAUUUGAGUGGCGUCCGUGAAGCAAGUAAAAUCGCCUUACCUGUGAGCAGUCAGUCACACAAUACCAGCAUGACUACAUCUCAGUCGUACAGAGCAACACUUCAGUUCCUCACUCAACUGAGUCACUACGCUUUUAAGUGGUGUUUUCAACCAGUGUGUACUAUACCUCGUGUGUGAGCAGAGAUGACCAAUGCUGUUUGUAAUGCGGAAAUGUUAUGGACAUUGAAUCAAUGUGGAAAACUGAUUGGAUUUGCACAAAUUAACAUAAGAGAAUUUCAUAAUUUUCUUACCCAGCUUUUAACCUAAAUGUAAUGACAUUACGAAAUGUUUUGUUGAUUUCACGUUAGUUGACAACUAGACAUGGAACUGACGUCUGUGCCCAGUGGGACACCUCGUGUUGGUUUAGUUGGAGAUCACUGUAAUAAGAAAUUAAAAGAUUGGCAAGAUUGGCAAGUAUGCUUCUAAAUAAUGAAUUUUGAUGUACAAAUGGACAUACUGUUAUAUGUGGAUUGUUUGUCAAUAACUAUUUAGUGAGGUGCAUGCCAAUGUCGUGCACACAUCAUCAAUAGCUUUCAAAGUUCCAAUGUGUUGGUACAAUGAGCGCUUAACUGUUGAAGUAAUAAAAGUUGAUAACUUAAAUGGAUAAAUGA